RNAcentral lists this ribosomal RNA (252 nucleotides) under uncultured bacterium. RNAcentral's name for it is "partial 16S ribosomal RNA". It matches the Rfam family "Bacterial small subunit ribosomal RNA", at positions 524 to 776 of the family's 1533-position model. The record is from RNAcentral.
UACGUAGGGGGCAAGCGUUGUCCGGAAUUAUUGGGCGUAAAGCGCGCGCAGGCGGUGAUUUAAGUUUGGUGUUUAAUCCCGGGGCUCAACCCCGGGUCGCACUGAAAACUGGGUCACUUGAGUGCGGGAGAGGAAAGUGGAAUUCCACGUGUAGCGGUGAAAUGCGUAGAGAUGUGGAGGAACACCAGUGGCGAAGGCGACUUUCUGGACCGUAACUGACGCUGAGGCGCGAAAGCGUGGGGAGCAAACAGG